Molecule: ribosomal RNA, 253 nt
Filed under: uncultured bacterium
Lineage: Bacteria
Description: partial 16S ribosomal RNA
Rfam family: Bacterial small subunit ribosomal RNA
Source: RNAcentral
UACGAAGGGGGCUAGCGUUGCUCGGAAUUACUGGGCGUAAAGCGCACGUAGGCGGCUUUCUAAGUCGGGGGUGAAAUCCUGGAGCUCAACUCCAGAACUGCCUUCGAUACUGGAGAGCUUGAGUCCGGGAGAGGUGAGUGGAACUGCGAGUGUAGAGGUGAAAUUCGUAGAUAUGGGGAGGAACACCGGUGGCGAAGGCGGCCACCUGGACGGUCACUGACGCUGAGACGCGAAAGCGUGGGGAGCAAACAGG